This 351-nucleotide long non-coding RNA is filed under the name Equus caballus (horse). RNAcentral describes it as "lncRNA (ENSECAG00000053531.1)". Lineage: Eukaryota; Metazoa; Chordata; Mammalia; Perissodactyla; Equidae. The record is from RNAcentral.
GGUGGCUCCAAUGCAAUUACAAGGGUCCUUAAAAGCUGAAGAGGGACUUGAAAGGAAGAGCUGACAAGAUGGCAAAAUGAGAAGGACACAUUUUGCUGAUGCUGCUGACUUAGAAGAUUGAGGAAUGUGUCAUGAAUCAAGGAAAACAGAGGAACUCUAGAAGUUGGAAUUUCUAGAAGCUGAAAAAUGGAGUUACAGAAAUUAAGAAGCAUAUUGUCAUGAUAAUAACUGAAAAAGAACCAGGCACACACUCCACAACUGCAUUUUCUCCUUUACGUUCUGGAUGUUAGAGUCUGGGGAUUUAUCUGCGGGGAAGGGUCUUUCUGUUCUGAACUGCAGAUUUCCACAUAA